Molecule: long non-coding RNA, 1418 nt
Filed under: Marmota monax (woodchuck)
Lineage: Eukaryota; Metazoa; Chordata; Mammalia; Rodentia; Sciuridae
Source: RNAcentral
AUCAAACUUAAUUUUGAUUAUUUUUUAAAAUGUGUUCUUUUUAAACAGUAGAGUGUAUUUUGACAUACAUACAUGGAGUAUUACUUAUUCUAGGAUCCCAUUCUUAUGGUUGUACAUGAUGUGGAGUUUCACAUGAAUUAGGAAAGAUUCAUUCUGCUGUCUUUACUAUUCCUAUCCCUCCUCCCUUCCCAUCAUUCUCCUCUGUCUAAUCAAUUGAACUUCUAUUCUCCCCACCCCACUUAUUGUAUGUUAAUAUUCACAUAUCAGAGAGAACAUUCGGCUUUUGGCUUUUAUGGGACUGGCUUAUUUCUCUUAGCAUGUUAGUCUCUAGAUCUAUCCAUUUACUGGUAAAAGCCAUAAAGCCAUUCUUUUUUAUGACUAAUAUUUCAUUGUGUAUAUAUACCAUUUUCUUUAUCCAUUCAUCUGUUGAAGGGCACCUAGGUUGGUUCCAUAGCUUGACUAUUGUGAAUUGAGCUGCUAUAAACAUUGAUGUGGCUGUGUCACUAUAGUAUGCUGAUUUUAACUCCUUUGAGCAUAUACUAAGGAGUGGGAUAACUGAGUCAAAUGGUGGUUCCAUUUCAAAACUUUUUUGUUGUUGUUGUUUUUUGAGGAGGGGGUAUUGGGGAUUGAACUCAGGAGCACUCAACCACUGAGCCACAUCCCCAGCCCUACUUUGUAUUUUAAAUAGAGACAGAGUCUCACUGAGUUGCUUAAUGUCUCACAAUUGCUAAGGCUGGCUUUGAACUCCCAAUUCUCCUGUCUCAGCCUCCUGAGCUGCUGGGAUUACAAGUGUUCACCCGGCUCCAUUCCAAGUUUUUUGAGGAAUUUCCAUACUGCUAUCCAUAGUGGAUGCACCAAUUUGCAGUCCCACCAGAAAUGUAUGAGUGAGCCUUUUUCCCCACAUCUUCACUAACAUUUAAUGUUGCUUGUAUUCUUGAUAAUUGCCAUUCUGACUGGAGAUGGAAUCUCAGUGUAGUUUUAAUUUGCAGUUCUCUAAUUGCUAGAGAUGUUGAACAUUUUUUCACAUAUUUGUUGACCAUUUAUAUUUCUUCUGUGAAGUGCCUAUUUAGUUCCUUUGCCCGUUUCUUGAUUGGGUUAUCUGGGGUUUUGUUUGUUUGUUUGUUGUUUUGUUUUUUUUUCUUUCUUUUUCUUUUCUUUCUUUCCUUCUUUUUUUUUUGGUGUUAAUUUUUUUUAGUUCUUUGUAUAUCCUUGAGAUUAAUGCUCCACUUGAGAUACAGAUGGCAAAGAUGUUCUCCCAUUCUGUAGGCUCUCUGUUCACAUUAUUGUUUCUUUUGCUGUGAAGCAUCUUUUAAUUUUGAUACCAUCCCAUUUAUUGAUUCUUGGUUUUACUUCUUGUGCUUUGAAAUCUUCUUGAGGAAGUCAGUUCCUAAGCUGACAUGGUGGUGAAGAUUUAGUCC